AUCCAUUUUCUGCCACCGAAUACAUUAGCAUGGGAUAAUGGAAUAGGACCCUGUCCUCCUAUUUUCAGUUGGUUUUGGCAGCGCGAGGACUAGGGUAAUGAUUAAUAGGGAUAGUUGGGGGCAUUAAUAUUUAAUUGUCAGAGGUGAAAUUCUUGGAUUUAUGAAAGAUUAACUUCUGCGAAAGCAUCUGCCAAGGAUGUUUUCAUUAAUCAAGAACGAAAGUUAGGGGAUCGAAGACGAUCAGAUACCGUCGUAGUCUUAACCAUAAACGAUGCCGACCAGCGAUUAGGAGACGUUGAAUACAAAACACCACCAUCGGUGCGGUCGUCCUUGGCGUCGGUCUUUCGGGGCCGGCGCGGGGACGGCUUAGCCCGGUGGCACCGGUGAAUGACUCCCCUAG
This 400-nucleotide ribosomal RNA is filed under the name Acanthamoeba genotype T4. Its description in RNAcentral is "SSU rRNA". It matches the Rfam family "Eukaryotic small subunit ribosomal RNA", at positions 778 to 1083 of the family's 1831-position model. The record is from RNAcentral. Lineage: Eukaryota; Discosea; Longamoebia; Acanthamoebidae.